ACUUGUAUGGAUUUCGUGGCCCUUGAAAUGUGGGCUUACUAAUCUCGGUAACAUGGAUGCCGCCACAAAUUGUGCUUCUCAUUGUCUUGUGAAUUGUAGGAGGGCACACUGCGAAUAAAACGCGCGCAACCUACACGGCGCAAGCCGCCCCUGAA
Drosophila rhopaloa is the source of this 155-nucleotide long non-coding RNA. RefSeq lists it as uncharacterized. The transcript has 2 exons. Lineage: Eukaryota; Metazoa; Arthropoda; Insecta; Diptera; Drosophilidae. The record is from RefSeq and is a predicted model, not a curated record.